AGAGUAAGCGAGAUGGUUGCGGGCUGCUAACCCCAGUCCGAGGAAAGUCCGGGCUUCCGAAAGACCAAACUUGCUGGCUAAUCACCAGUGCGAGCGAUCGCGAGGAUAGUGCCACAGAAACAUACCGCCCUCAGCACUGCAGAUUUUGGAUUGAGGAUUUGAGAUUCAACCAUGAAUCUCAAAAUUCAACAAUCAACAAUCCCUGAGGGUAAGGGUGCAAAGGUGCGGUAAGAGCGCACCAGCAGCAUCGAGAGGUGCUGGCUCGGUAAACCCCGGUUGGAAGCAAGGCAGAAGGAGCAACGGUUGGUCUUUUACCAGCUCCAGUAGGAGGCAACUCCUGCGAGUCCGCUAGAGGUGUCUGGCAACAGCCAUCCCAGACAGAUAACCAUCCCCCAAUUGGGAGAACAGAACCCGGCUUAUGUCUUGCUCUUCCC
Molecule: RNase P RNA, 434 nt
Filed under: Leptolyngbyaceae cyanobacterium JSC-12
Lineage: Bacteria; Bacillati; Cyanobacteriota; Cyanophyceae; Leptolyngbyales; Leptolyngbyaceae
Description: Oscillatoriales cyanobacterium JSC-12 Bacterial RNase P class A
Rfam family: Bacterial RNase P class A
About the family: Ribonuclease P (RNase P) is a ubiquitous endoribonuclease, found in archaea, bacteria and eukarya as well as chloroplasts and mitochondria. Its best characterised activity is the generation of mature 5'-ends of tRNAs by cleaving the 5'-leader elements of precursor-tRNAs. Cellular RNase Ps are ribonucleoproteins.
Source: Rfam by way of RNAcentral